RNAcentral lists this long non-coding RNA (256 nucleotides) under Panax ginseng (ginseng). RNAcentral's name for it is "long non-coding RNA (PGIN_LNC008804)". Lineage: Eukaryota; Viridiplantae; Streptophyta; Magnoliopsida; Apiales; Araliaceae. The record is from RNAcentral.
ACAAACAUAAGAAUCUUUUUAAGCACAACGGAAUAAGUAAAAGAUUCCCCUUCAUUGAUAUAUUCAUAAUUAUACGUACAAUGUUCAUUGGGUUAGUUUAGUUGUAAGCAGUUAAAACAUACAUAGCAGUUAUAGCAGUUAUAGACAUAAUGUAAAUGACAUAAUGUAAAAGACACAAGAGGUUUUAAGUGGUUCAGAGACUCAAGCUCCUAAUCCACUCUUCUGCUUUCAACUAGCAGGAUUUCCACUAAGGAAG